RNAcentral lists this ribosomal RNA (465 nucleotides) under uncultured bacterium. RNAcentral describes it as "partial 16S ribosomal RNA". It matches the Rfam family "Bacterial small subunit ribosomal RNA", at positions 338 to 795 of the family's 1533-position model. The record is from RNAcentral.
CCUACGGGAGGCAGCAGUGGGGAAUAUUGCGCAAUGGGCGAAAGCCUGACGCAGCGACGCCGCGUGAGGGAUGAAGGUCUUCGGAUUGUAAACCUCUGUCAGCAGGGAAGAACGGUCACUGUGCUAAUCAGCAGUGAAUUGCCGGUACCUGCAAACGAAGCACCGGCUAACUCCGUGCCAGCAGCCGCGGUAAUACGGAGGAUGCAAGCGUUAAUCGGAAUUACUGGGCGUAAAGCGCGCGUAGGCGGUAGGUCAAGUCAGAGGUGAAAUCCCCGCGCUCAACGUGGGAACUGCCUUUGAAACUGGCAAACUGGAGUGUUGGAGAGGAUAGUGGAAUUCCAGGUGUAGCAGUGAAAUCCGUAGAUAUCAGGAGGAACACCAGUGGCGAAGGCGACUAUCUGGAACAUAACUGACGCUGAGGAGCGAAAGCGUGGGUAGCAAACAGGAUUAGAUACCCUGGUAGUC